GCCGGUGUGGUGGAAUUGGCAGACGCGCUGGACUCAAAAUCCUGUGUUCGCGAGAACGUGUCGGUUCGAGUCCGACCACCGGCACCA
RNAcentral lists this transfer RNA (87 nucleotides) under Clostridiaceae bacterium. RNAcentral describes it as "tRNA-Leu". It matches the Rfam family "tRNA". Rfam says of the family: Transfer RNA (tRNA) molecules are approximately 80 nucleotides in length. Their secondary structure includes four short double-helical elements and three loops (D, anti-codon, and T loops). Lineage: Bacteria; Bacillati; Bacillota; Clostridia; Eubacteriales; Clostridiaceae. The record is from RNAcentral.